This 3488-nucleotide long non-coding RNA is filed under the name Portunus trituberculatus (swimming crab). RNAcentral's name for it is "uncharacterized LOC123517344". Lineage: Eukaryota; Metazoa; Arthropoda; Malacostraca; Decapoda; Portunidae. The record is from RNAcentral.
CUCUCUCUCUCUCUCUCUCUCUCUCUCUCUCUCUCUCUCUCUCUCUCUCUCUCUCUCUCUCUCUCUAUCUAUCUAUUUAUAUAUCUAUCUAUCUCUCUCCACUCCUCAUUUCCCUCACAGCCCUCAGCUUUAUUGAUGAACACGUGAAGUAUACAUAAAUGAAUAUAUUAAAAAAAGAAAUCUAUAAAUAUAAAUAAAUAAAUACACGUACUUUUAAUCCUAAUACAAUAGUUUACCGACAACGACAUAGUGAGGCUUUGAUCCUGUCGAGCAGUACUACUAUACUCCCUCUUAGCUCAGUCGUUCCUAGUGAGCAUUACUGACCCGCACUAAGGCUCCCACGGCCCACCUGUCCACCGCCUGCCCGUCUGUAGCGAAGUGACAGGUGACGCGGGGAAGCCUCGUGAGGGACAAUACCAAGGCAGCUUCAAUACAUACUUAUAUAUAUAUAUAUUCUACGUAUAUCACGACUGUCAACUGUACUCUUUCCCUCUAGCACAGCCGCUGCCGCUACCAACGCACGGCGGGUCAUUGUUAUCACUACUUCCCACUACGUACUGUUACUUUCCUGGUUCAGUUCCCAUCGCCACAGUAGUUGUGUGUUCCAGCGGCUCUGCUUCUUACUUAUGAUUAUUAUUGGUGAUGGUGAUGAUGAUGAUGAUGAUGAUGAUUGACGUGUUUGGUGAAGGGUUUUUAGGAGGUGGUUGUCAAAUUUUGCUUUAGGAUAGAAUCACAGGAGCCUUGUGGCACUACGCUGUACCAGUAUUAGGAUUAUAAGUAACCUUUGUGAUUCUAGAGGUGUAAAUGGCGGCCUGUGACCUGGUGUCGGGGCGCUGCGGAGGACCACGUGCCCCUGCCUCCACCGCCUCCGCCUGGUGACUCAUUCCCCACGCCCUGGCUCCUACUGUGCCUCUUACUUCUCCUCCGGCUGGUAAAACGUAGCAGGACGUUCGUACAGGAGCAGCAGCUGACGCAUCUUAGCGCUAAUCAAAACAAUCUCAUUGCUAUUUUAGACCAGUUGGCACAGACGGGGCCACGGCGUGAGGAGCGAGCCAGCGGGAGGGAGGCGAGGGAGACAGGAGCAGUAGUCACGCCGCAGCCUCCUGACGAGAGUUGCUUUGUAUAGUUUGAGGGUCGACGGUGCUGCGCUGGUGUUGUGUGGAGGCGCAGAGCGGAGCAAGGUGCUGUCCUACGUGGCGGCGGAGAGUCCAUGCAGCGUAGCAAUGGUUUGUUGUGUGCGCUUGUGAAGGCCGCGAUCCCAGUGCCCAGUGCGUGGCUGUGGGGGAUAUUUUUCCGCGCGUAAGGCUUGUUGCACAGGGACGUGGAACACCUGAGGGGACUUCCUGGUCGUCGGAGCAGUUUAGUCUUGUGGGGAAAGAGAUUACUUGUGAAUAUGUUGCAAUGCUGAGGUCAUCUGGCGUAGAGGGAGAAACUAGUAAUGUGUUUAGAUAGUUUCCUGAGACGUAAUGACAGAAAACUCUUGCCAUUCACGGUGACUCAACGCCAACGCUUUCACACACACACACACACACACACACACACACACACACACACACACACACACACACACACACACACACACACACACACACACACACACACACACACACACACACACACACACACACACACACACACACACACACACACACACACACACACACACACAGGCCAGAUUCAAACCGAAAUCAUAUUCGCAUCGGCCUGCCACUCCUGCCGUCACACCGCCCAUAAAUUCAGAUUAAUUUCCUGGAUACAGAGUUAGUGUGUCGCUGGCCACUCAUUCAUCACUGAUCGCCGUGACCCUGAAUUAGUGACAUGUAGUAUUAUAAGGAUUUCUCAGGUGGUAUGAGAGAGAGAGAGAGAGAGAGAGAGAGAGAGAGAGAGAGAGAGAGAGAGAGAGAGAAAGAGAGAGCGAGAGAGAGAGAGAGGGAGGGAUGGACGGUGCCUGCAGGAUGAUGAGCCACGAACCAGUUUAAAGGGAAUGAAUCCUUUGAGCCGUGUCCCCUUCCGCCCUUCCUGCCUGCCUCCCUUACUCUCUCUCUCUCCCUCAUCCUCCCGCCCCAGUCUCCCUCCGCCCCCCGCCCUUCAGCAGCCACCCACUGCCUAAAGCUUUCACUUGCCCGCCCAGUUACUCGUGACCGCCCACAGUCAGCACGCCGCCCGCCAGCUUCUCACUGCCUUCUCCUGUUACUCUCACGCCCACUCUCGUCUUGAACUGUAAUGCGAUCCAAGAGAGAGAGAGAGAGAGAGAGAGAGAGAGAGAGAGAGAGAGAGAGAAUAAGUAAUUACUCUCUCAUCUACUUUGACCCUCCCUCCCUCAACUGAAUUCUCGAGAGGCAGCAGAUGUUCACGGUUUUAAUUAAUAUAGUCUGGUGGUGGAGGAGGUGGUGGUGGUGGAGGUGGUGGUUCUUCUAAGAUUAUGGUGGCAGUGGUGGUGCGUAGUAGUUUCUCCUCCUCCACCUUCUCUUCCUCCUCUUCUUUUCCCUCCCACUCUUCCCCCACUCACUACCAUCCCCGCCACUCCCGCUAUCUCGCGCCACAUCGCUAACAAUGACGCACAAGAUAAUAGCACACCAAUGACUUUCAGGCAAAUAACGCGCCAGAGAGAGAGAGAGAGAGAGAGAGGAGGGGGGAGGGGGGUAGAUAAACAGACUAAGCAGAGUGAGGAGAAAGAAGAGUUUAAGAAGGAGAGGAUGUAAAAGAGGAGUAAAGAGAGAGGAGAGGGAGGAGGGAGAGGGUGAGAGAGAGAGAGAGAAGGUGGAGAAUGCACGAGGUGUAGCAGGUGCGUGUGUGUGUGUGUGUGUGUGUGUGUGUGUGUGUGUGUGUGUGUGUGUGUGUGUGUGUGAGUGUGUAUGUCUGUUACUCUAAACAACCAACUGACUUAACGCUCUCCUUCCUCCUUGCCAUAACUCACAACCCAUUGCCUAAAACACUCAUAACUUUAAAAGCCCAGAGGAAUUAUGGGACUUCAGCAACCACGUAAACUUGCCGUUGAAAUGAAAGUAUAAACAUGGAUAUCAAAACCUUAAGCAAUCUUCGACCAAGGUACUACAUGAAAAUAAUAAUAAUGUGUGUGUGUGUGUGUGUGUGUGUGUGUGUGUGUGUGUGUGUGUGUGUGUGUGUGUGUGUGUGUGUGUGUGUGUGUGUGUGUGUGUGUGUGUGUGUGUGUGUGUGUGUGUGUGUGUGUGUGUGUGUGUGUGUUUAUAGGAGUAGUAAAAGGAUCAAGAAGUUGUUUACUAAAGUCGCAAAAGGAGGUUGGUGGUGCUGAGAGAGAGAGAGAGAGAGAGAGAGAGAGAGAGAGAGAGAGAGAGAGAGAGAGAGAGAGAGAGAGAGAGACGAUUGUAAGACUCAGCUGCUCUGCGUGUGUAUUGUAAGAAACCUAACCUUCUUCUUACGUCUUCUUUAAGGUGAAAAGACUCUCUCUCUCUCUCUCUCUCUCUCUCUCUCUCUCUCUCUCUCUCUCUCUCUCUCUCUCUCUCUCUCUC